GGGCCCGCACAAGCGGUGGAGCAUGUGGUUUAAUUCGACGCAACGCGCAGAACCUUACCCAGACUUGACAUCCAUCAAAGUUGGCCCAAAAGUCGACGUGCCCGCAAGGGAAUGGUGAGACAGGUGCUGCAUGGCUGUCGUCAGCUCGUGUCGUGAGAUGUUGGGUUAAGUCCCGCAACGAGCGCAACCCUCGCCUUUAGUUGCUCCGCAAGGAGAUCUCUAGAGGGACCGCCAGUGAUAAGCUGGAGGAAGGUGGGGAUGACGUCAAGUCCUCAUGGCCUUUAUGUCUGGGGCUACACACGUGCUACAAUGGCGAGUACAAAGCGUUGCCAACCUGCGAAGGGGAGCUAAUCGCAUAAAACUCGUCUCAGUUCGGAUCGGAGUCUGCAACUCGGCUCCGUGAAGUCGGAAUCGCUAGUAAUCGCAGAUCAGCACGCUGCGGUGAAUACGUUCCCGGGCCUUGUACACACCGCCCGUCACACCAUGGGAGUCAAUUGCUCCAGAAGUCACCACACCACAGUGGUGCCCAAGGAGUGAUUGGUAACUGGGGUGAAGUCGUAACAAGGUAGCCGUAGGGGAACCUGCGGCU
RNAcentral lists this ribosomal RNA (589 nucleotides) under uncultured bacterium. RNAcentral's name for it is "bacterial SSU rRNA". It matches the Rfam family "Bacterial small subunit ribosomal RNA", at positions 917 to 1519 of the family's 1533-position model. The record is from RNAcentral.